Molecule: ribosomal RNA, 301 nt
Filed under: uncultured bacterium
Lineage: Bacteria
Description: partial 16S ribosomal RNA
Rfam family: Bacterial small subunit ribosomal RNA
Source: RNAcentral
CAGCAGCCGCGGUAAUACGUAGGGUGCGAGCGUUAAUCGGAAUUACUGGGCGUAAAGCGGGCGCAGACGGUUACUUAAGCAGGAUGUGAAAUCCCCGGGCUCAACCUGGGAACUGCGUUCUGAACUGGGUGACUAGAGUGUGUCAGAGAGAGGUAGAGUUCCACGUGUAGCAGUGAAAUGCGUAGAGAUGUGGAGGAAUACCGAUGGCGAAGGCAGCCUCCUGGGAUAACACUGACGUCCAUGCCCGAAAGCGUGGGUAGCAAACAGGAUUAGAUACCCCCGUAGUCCCUGUCUCUUAUAC